UCAGCUGUUGGCCCGGGCGGAGGGAGGAUGUACGUCAGUCCGCCUCUGUGCCCUAGUGUUGUGACGAGCUGUACCUUGACAUCCCCAGUUCGAAUCCCCCGCACGUGCUAAGGAAGGGAUUGCGUGUACCUCGUGUUAGUUAUUGAUGGUCCAGCCGCCGCCAUGGGGGACGAGUCUAGCGUGCGUGUGGCCAUCAGGAUCCGGCCCCAGAUCGCCCGUGAGCUGAUCGACAUGUGCCGCGUGUGCACCAGCGUCACACCCGGGGAGCCGCAGGUGUGGCUGGGCUCCGACAAGGCCUUCACCUACGAUCACGUCUUCGACCAGCCCGCCGGCCAGACCGAAGUGUACGAGUCGUGCGUGGCCGGCCUGAUCGAGGGCUGCUUUGAGGGCUACAAUGCGACCGUCUUGGCGUAUGGACAGACGGGUUCGGGCAAGACCUACACCAUGGGCACGGGGCUGGAGAUGGAGGGUGACCCCGCGUUCGUGGGCAUCAUCCCCCGUGCGGUGGAGCACCUCUUCCGCGGCAUCGACGAGCGCCGGGAGGCCGCGCGCGCCACCGCCACCACCCCGCCGGAGUUCAAGGUCACGGCGCACUUCAUGGAGCUCUACAACGAAGAGAUUAUUGACCUUUUUGAACCGGGCUACAAGGGCUCGGGCAAGGGCGGUAUCCGGAUCCACGAGGACGCUGAGGGCGGCAUCUACGUCACGGGCGUCACCACCAGGAAUGUCACGUCCCUGGAGGAGACGAUGCAGUGCCUGCGGGCGGGCGCGCUGUCCCGCACCACCGGCUCCACCAACAUGAACACGCAGUCGUCACGCUCGCACGCCAUCUUCACGCUCCUCGUCCGGCAGCAGAGGAUCGCCCCGGUCAGAGAGGACGAUGGCGAGGAAGGAGGCAGCGGGGAGGGCGGAGCGCCACAAGAGGGCAUUCCGGAGUUCGAAACCCUGACGGCCAAGUUUCAUUUCGUGGACUUGGCGGGCUCGGAGCGGCUCAAGAGGACGGGCGCCACGGGGGAGAGGGCCAGGGAGGGCAUAUCCAUCAACUGUGGCCUGCUGGCCCUGGGGAACGUGAUCUCAGCCCUUGGGGACGUGAGCAAGCGGGCUUCCCAUGUGCCUUACAGGGACUCCAAGCUCACCAGACUCCUGCAGGAUUCUCUAGGAGGCAACAGUCGCACCCUGAUGAUCGCCUGCAUAUCCCCAAGCGACACAGACUUCAUGGAGACGCUCAACACCCUCAAGUAUGCCAACCGUGCCCGCAACAUCAAGAACAAGGUGAUGGUGAACCAGGACAAGGCAAGCAAGGCCAUCGCCAUCCUGCGCCAGGAGAUCCAGCAGCUCAGAGUGGAGCUGAUGGAGUACAAGCAGGGCAAGAGGAUUGUGGGUGAAGAUGGGAGUGAGGCGGUGAACGACAUGUACCACGAGAACCAGAUGCUGUCCACUGAGAUUGCCAACAUGCGCACCAGACUCAAGGCGCUGCAGGAGACCGUGGAGGUGCUCACCGCCAAGGCUGCAGCGCUGCUGGCGGAGAAGGCGACCAGCGGCUGGAUCACAUCGGGUGAAGGGGUAGACAUGGCCACAGUGAUCCAGGGCUACCUCAAGGAGAUUGAAGAGCUCCGGGCCAAGCUGUGUGAGAGUGAGAACCUUUGCCAGCAGCUGCGCAAACAACUCAACAAUCGCGCCAACAACCCCGCCCGGCUCUCCAUGUCCCCUAUGCAUGUUCCUAUGUCAGGAUCAAUGUAUGGGUGUGUGGAUGAUGCGGAGGAAGGGCAGACCUUCACCCAGCUGAUUGAGGAGGCCAAGAGGGACCUCAAUAGGGACCUGCAGGAAGUCAAGAGGAAGAAGAGGGCGUCAGGAGGCUCAGGUGGAGAGGACGAUGAUGAGGAAGACGAUGAUGAGGAAGAGAACGAGGAGGAAGAGGAAGGGGAGAUGGAGGAGAACUAUGAGAGCUCAGAUGAAAGUGGGGAGGAUAAGGAGAACUACAACGAGGAGCUGGCGGAGUUGACGAGCGAGAUAUCGAUCAAGCAGAAGCUGAUUGAAGGUCUCGAGCUUAGCCAGCGUCGCCUGGAGACCAUGAGGCACCAGUAUGAGGAUAAGCUGAAUGUCCUCAUGAACCGCAUCCGAGCAACGCAGGAGGAGAGGGACAAGGUAAUCGCUAACAUUAAGUCGAGUAGCAGUGCCGGGGAUGAUAAAGUGAAGUCAGUGAAGCAGGAGUACGAGCGGCGAAUCUGUAACAUGCAGAACGAAAUGAAGAAGCUGCAGGCCGCCCAGAAGGAGCACGCCAAGCUGAUGAGGGAGCGAGGACAACACGAGAGGCAGCUGAGGACCCUGAAGGCCGACCUGGCGGAGAUGAAGAAAACCAAAGUCAGGCUGAUGAAUAAGAUGAAGGAGGACAACACAAGGGCCAAGCAGGAGGAGCUCAAGAAGAACCGAGAGAUCGCCCAGCUGCGCAAGGCAUCCCGCAAGCAGGAGACAUACAUCAAGAGCCUCGAGGCAGAGAACCGUCUCAAGAAUGUUGUGCUGAAGCGCAAGACGGAGGAGAUUGCAGUGCUGAAGAAGGCACCGAGGCAGGGACUCAGCAGCAAGGCCUCUGGGAGACUUAGAAAGAGGGUGGGCUUGGCAACACAGGCCACCACUUUCUCACCCAAGGUGGCCAAGCAGAAGUGGCAGUCGCUGGAGCAGAACAUCAACAAGGUGGCGUACAACAAGCAGACCGUCAGCAGCAUGGAGCGGGACAUGGAGAGGUGGCUGAAGGAGCGUGAGUCACUGAGUCGGCAGCUGGAGCGAGUCAUGAGGAAGCGAGAGCGUGCUGACCCAGCAGACAUGACGGCCUACAAUGACCUGAACGACCAGGUGGAGGCACUGAGAGCCAACAUCGACUACAUCCACGAGAACAUCCAGGAGUGCCAGGACAACAUCAUGAGCAUGGAGGAGAGCAAGGAGCAGUCAGACCUGUUGAGUUCAGACGCAGUGACAACUGGCCUAGGCAAAGAAGAGUCCCACUACCUCAUCAGCAAGCUGAUCAACAUGACAGUGAACCAAGCCACUCUGGCAGCACAGCGGCAGGCAGCCAUCUCGGAGUUGGAGGGCAAGAUGAAGCAGAUGGAGCAGACAACUAGUGUUCAGGAGCAGCUUCUGGCACACGUGUUGGGCGACAAGGACCUGGAGGUGUACAGCCUCAUGUCCUCCCUUGUGGCAGCCGAGGACAACACUCCCGCCUCCACCGAGUCCUCCCGAUCCAACUCACCCACUGACGGCCUGAUGGAAACCUCUGCCACUUCGCUCGUCUCACUCGAUUCCCUAAAAAGGAGAGACAAGGCGCGCCGAAAGACAGCCACCACAGAGGACAUGCUCUUCACCAAUGGCUCCGAGAAGAAUGGGAACCUUGGAGCCACCAGCACAGACCCCACAGCAGCUGCCUCAGGUCCGACGUCCCUCCCAGAGCGCUCGACAACAGACCGCAUGACCGUCAGCCUUGGGACAGACCGCAUGAGUACUAGUCUGGAGGGCGUGCUCAGCGAUGAAGGUUUGCUCAUGCCUCCUCCGUCCUCCUCCUCCUCUGGCUCCCUACGGCCAGUCCCCAGGGUCACCUCGGCCCCCAACCCCCUCAAGAACCUGUUGACACCCCGCCCUGACAAAGCCUCACCAGUCCUAAGCCGCAAGUCUUAUGAGCGAGCAGAGUUGACAUCCCCGCGCCUCGGCAGACGGUCGCUCACCUCUCUAAGCGCCUCAAACCUAAAUUUUUCACGGCAAAAUUCUGCGGACAACAACCCAGAGUGCACCCCGCCCACCUCCCCCACCACCUACCGGCGCUCCACCUCAAGGGACGAAAACGUGUUCUCCCGCCUCACCUCGGCCACCUCCUCAACACGGGAGACUCGGCCAAACACGGGCGUCAUCAAUCCCCACGCCGGCAGGGCCACCCAGCGGUCAGUGCUGGCCUGCACCCACGUGGCUCAGGGCCACUCCAAGGCGGUGCUCUCAGUCCACGCCACGGAUGACCUCCUCUUCUCAGCGUCCAAAGACCGCACGGUGAAGGUGUGGGACUUGGUGCGCGGGCAGGAGAUCCAGUCCCUCGGUGGCCACCCCAACAACGUGAACUGUGUGAGGUACUGUGAGGCCCAGCACACCUGCUUCUCUGUGUCCUCCUCCUUCAUCAAGGUCUGGGACAUCCGAGAAAACCCUGCCCGCUGUACCCGUACGCUAAGCUCAGCAGGCCUCACCUCUGUUGGCUUCCCCGUUCCCAGCACUCAGUCCCGCACGCUGCAGAUGCCACCCGGGGAGACUCUCAUCACAGACGUCGCCAUCUCCACUGCCACCAACAUCCUGUACUCUGCUGCCGGGAACAUUGUCAGGAUAUGGGAUCUCAGGAAGCACUCGGCGGUAGGUAAGCUUGCUGGAGGUCACCAAGCCGCUGUGAUGUGCCUGGCAGUGGACUCCACAGUUCCCGGCCAGGAUGUGGUGGCCACCGGCUCAAAGGACCACUACAUCAAGGUAUUUGACAUCACUGGCACCCACUCAGGCCUCGUCAACCCCCGCCUUAACCUUGAGCCGCCACACUACGAUGGCAUUCAGUCCCUUGCCCUCUACGGGGACACCCUCUUCUCAGGCUCCAGGGACAUGUGCAUCAAGAAGUGGGACUUGCAGCGCGGCGAGCAUGUCCAGUCCCUCAACAACGCACACAAGGACUGGGUGUGCGCCCUCUGCUUCACCCCUGGUGGACAGAUUGUGCUCUCUGGUUGUCGUGGAGGCAUGAUAAAGAUGUGGUCUGCCGAGAGCUGCCAGCUCAUAGGAGAGCUGAGGGCCCAUGCAUCACCCAUCAAUGCCAUCACCACAAACUCCACCUGCAUCUUCACUGCCUCAAACGAGGGGGACAUUCGGGUGUGGAGGCCGUUGGUGGGGGUGGCAGCGGGCAGGACCUUUGAACUUUCCAUCUAGGUCAGCCCCUCCUCUCCCCCUCUUCAUCCUUCACAUGUGCGCCAGGAACAUGACUGCACAAUAGGCAUGUGGAGGAUGCGCACCAGCUAUGAUGUCUCUCCAGAGCUGUCCGACGCUUCGUGACCUGACCUCAGAAGUGAUGCCCCUCACCACAAACAGCACCAGGUGACUUCAGGCUCUCUCCUGAUGACCUGCAGCCUCGGGGACAACCAGUUAUUUUAAGUUUUCUUCAUUUUAUGUUUCCUCUCAUGGCCUCACCUCAGGGCAGUCCUCUGAGGUGGUGGUGACCCAUGCAUUGUGUAUAUAUUAUUAUUCCUGUACAGUUCUCUUUUAAGUCCUUUUUUUUUUUUUUUUUUUAGAUUAAUGAACAAUAUUUUAUUUCAUUUUAUGCUUUCCUUCUUACUUUCACACACUCCUUCCUUGUUGAUCAGGAGGACCUUCCAGAGGAGUGCCAUGUUUAAUUUGACAUUUUAGAAUCUUUUAUUUUAUUAUGGCGACCUCUUGUGUUUUAAAUUUUUUUCUUCAUGGAAUUCUACUUUGUCAUUUUAUUAUUUUUUUUACUGAUGUAUAUUUUUUUGAUGGAUUAAAGAUCUUUAUCAACACCUUUUCACCAGUGGAAUGACCUCAAGGGAGUAUUAUAUUGAUGCAAUUAAUCACAUUAUUUUAUUGGGAAGGUGAUGCAUAUUAAACGCAUUGAUCUGCACAUAAACUGGCAGAUUAGAAACAAGCCCACAGCAAGUUGUCAUUCAACAUUGUCAUAACACAUGAAAUUUGUGAUCUCUGCUGAAGAAAACAAAACUAAAAAUGUAAAGCAAAAGGCCAAACCUUUCAGAAAUUUUGCCAGCCUUGUAGUCAGCAAAUUCCUGAGAAGUUUUGUAAUUUUUCUGAGUAAUGUUCAUGGUGAUUUAAACAAGCUGUAGUCACCCAAGCCCUUUUUGUGCCAGGGUGAAUCAGCAGAACAAGGCUGGCUCACAUGUGUACAUGUGUGUGUGUGUGUGUGUGUGUGUGUGUGUGUGUGUGUGUGUGUGUGUUGAGAUAGAGAGAGAGAGGAAUAUUUUCACUGUCUCAGUCAUUAAGAGAGUUAGUUAUCUACAUCAGAUCAGCUUAACAAUACAGUAGAUAUUGUUACAGCACCUGAUACAGCAGCACCCAAGCUUUAAUCAAACAUCUUUACCACCCUCAGCACCACCACAGCUUACAAGGGAAAAUUAUUACUACUUACUGCUUCUACUGUGCACCAAGCCCAUGCACAGCACUGCAAGCACUUAAAUGUUAUUAUUAUCUACACACAAAAACAUAUAUUGGGAUUUCUUCCAAGAGUGCACUAGAUCAUUCACUCUCGCCUGUGUGCUUAUAAGUUUCUUAGACUGAACAGACUUUAACUCUACACUGUACUAUGAAUACUAUUACCGUUAUUUCUCUGAAGGAUAUACAGUGUCCUAACAAGGAUGAUGAAGGACAGAGAAGCAUUUUGCCUUAAAAAGAGGAUGAGAAGAGAGUAGCUGUUGUUGUUAAUGUUGGGGUUAUUGUGACUCCUUGAGUAAUACACACAAGCUCACACACACACACACACACACACACACACACACACACACAUACAUGCUACAAGCACACACACACAGACACAGAAACAAACACACACACACACAAGGAGAUCAAGAGAUCAGAUGAAUUAGUAAGGAGUCUUCCAUGAGGAUAUAAGGCAAAAAGUCUUAUUGCAGGUGAAAUUCAGCCACUGCUAGUGGUUGUUUUAGGGCAGUUCAUGUAAUGGGAUUUUAGUGUUAUUGCCAAAAGGAAGGAUGAUGCUGAUUGUCUCAAGAGACAGAAUACUGAUUAUGCUUUGUUUCUGUGUGAACUCAGAUGUAUCUUCCUGCAGACAUACAAACAUUCACUUCUGAGUCACGUUUUACAUAGCUUUAUGUUUUAUAUAAUCCAUUUUCACCUUCACUUACAAACUCAGGCAUACAUAUUUUGUAAUUAUUCAUCUUUCAUUUCCACCUCAUUUCAUUGUGUCAUUUCCUUUGUCAUUUCUUUUAUUUUCCCAUUAGAUUCAAAUCAAAUUAGUUAUUUUGAUAUCUGAGAGAGAAGCUUGAUAAUAUAAUUUCAGAGAGAGAAUAGUCAAGUUCUGCCAUCAGUCAUCGGUACAGUUACCUUUGAGUGUACAUGUGACUGGUUGCUGUGUCACCACUAGAACUGUGUGAGAGUGUUAAUUUUGGUCAUUUAUUAUGAGUGUAUUAUGAAUGUCGGAUGAACACUGAAUUGAGUGACUGGAAAUGUUUGCAUGCUCCACUAGUAACCUAAGGAGGAGUUUCUUGCACCAUAAAUGGGUGAUGUACAACUGUACCAUGACUGAUGAGAAAGGUCUGAAAUGAUAAGUCCAGCCUUGGAAUGACUGACUGAUGAGACCAAGGCUAAAUUUGCAUCAUUAGUAUAGUGAGGAAAGAAGGUGGGUCUAAAGUUUAGAUUAAAGGUAAGUGACUGACACAGAUGAAUGAUGCAGAAACAUGGUAACAAUGUUACAGUGCAAUGUUCUGGUAUUUCCUUAUUUUCUUGUACAUCUGUAAUAAACUGUUGUACAUACUCUACUGCAUUAGCUUGUACUACAUUUUUGUACUGUAACACCAACUUACAACCUUAUUUAUAUUACUAGCUGUAAGACUUAAUGAGUUAGCUCUAGCUCUAUUAUAGGAAUGUAUUGGUUAAGUAAUGAUUGGUGAACAUUGCACCAUGUGAUAUCGAGUCAUCAGCCUUGUUAUUCACUGGCUUCCUAGGAAUGUUACCUAUUAUCUUGUUAUCUCUCCAUAGUCAAGGGUGUCAACUAAGUGUGUAGUGAAUGCACAAAAUCUUGCAUUCACUAACCAUAGCUGAGAAUGUUUAUGGUGAGUGUGCAAUGUGAUAUUCAUAUAAACAUUCUUUCCCAUAGACUUCCACUACACAUAUUAUGGAGGUUAGUAGGUGUAAAAAAAAUAUAUCUGUGCUUAUUCAUUGUUUAACUAAUGUUAUACACGAAAAGGAAGAGAAGAAAGAAAUGAGGCACUGAUAAAAUGGGAAAGAAACAGGUUGUUUUGAAGGUUAAGUGAGGGAAGGAAACAAAGUUUUGAUAAAUGUAAAUCCAUGUGAUACAUACAAGAAACAAAAUGGUUGUACAUAUUUUUUCUUCAUACAUAAUUGGAGUCUGAAUGGAUAGUUUCUCAUAUAAAUUAUAUGUACUUGAACUUGUGGAAUUGGUGAAUCAUCAUUUUUAAGGUUUACUUGGAUCCUAUACCAUCCCAUGCAUACACGAAAAAGGAAACAAAAAUGUGCCUUAAUCAUGAAGAAAAAUAAUGUGGGAAAAAAUCAAACAUUUCUCAGCCACAGCAAUUUGAUAUGGAAACAUCCACUUACUGGGAAAGAGAACUACAUGUGUAUGCAGCUGAAUGACUUACAGUUUAGUUAUUUUUCAAAGGGCAGCAACAAUAACCAUACUGUGAUACUUAUUUCUUAUUUAUUCAUGUUUUUGAGGGACUAUAGUGACAUCCAUCACCCUUGAGUAGGUGUAAAAGGAAAGAAAAUUAGCAAAGGAGAGAUAAAAAGGAAAAGGUGAAAUAAUGUAUCAUGAACUUGAAGGAGGAAGAGAAAUACGUGUGUGUGUGUGUGUGUGUGUGUUAUAUUACAUCAACCUAGUGUGCUAUAUUACCGGUCAGUGUAUUUGCCUGUGUGUGUGUGUGUGUGUGUGUGUGUGUGUGUGUGUGUGUGUGUGUGUGUGUGUGUGUGUGUGUGUGUGUGUGUGCACCAUCAUUUUUACAAGCACCACUUUUACUUUGAAAGGGGUCUCAUUUUACCAGUGAGAAUGAGUCUUAAUAUAUAUUUGUGUUCUAAGUAAAUGUAACUCACAGCAACUCGAGCCCCACCCCAAUCAACCCCACCAGCACCAUCACAACAAUGAAAGAGUCAUUCAGUUUUGCCCCACUGCCUUUAAUUUUCCUCAUUAUAUAAUGAUGUAAGGUUCAGUGGUAAAUGUUUGAGUGUGUGUGUGUGUGUGUGUGUGUGUGUGUGUGUGUGUUGUGCUGUGUUGUAUUGUGUUGUGUUAUGGUUUUAUGACUGUUGACGAGGCCUUUUGUGAAGUAGUAUAGAAAAUGUGUGCUGACACACGCACGCACAUACGCACACACACAUACAAGACAUAAUUUUGCAUUUUAUCAAGUUGCCACCCACCACCAUCAUGACCCCACCUGACCCUGCACUCAAAGAGGUCAGGACGGGCUGAAGCAGAGUCAGGUUGCGAGUCUGAUGGUGUUGAGGAAGCAUUUCAGGUUAAAGGUUUUCAUGUGCUGGUAAUAGAAGAAGGACAAAAUUAAUGGAGCAGCACCCUUAUCAUAAACUAUUGUGAGAAUUUAAUGGAUUGUGCAAUUUAUAGUGAUAAAAAUUAAGGGACUUUUUCUUUUUCAAUAACAGUGUCUUCAAUAUUAUCAUUAGCUAUUGAUGUUAACAGUAAAUGGGCUGCUCUACUUGUAUACCCAACUGUACAUGGGUAAUGUUAAGUGUGCAUCAAAAAAUGUUCAUAACAGGCAAACAGAGGCUGCAGGAUAUGGUUGGUUAAGUGCUGAAUAUAAAGUACCUAACAACUUCCAUUCCCCUUGUGUGUGUGUGUGUGUGUGUGUGUGUGUGUGUGUGAGACAAGUGACACAGAAAAGUCACCACAGGGAUAUUGAAGUUCUUUUAGUUGUGUUUUUGAAGAAAGUGGUGUGAGUAAAAUGAUUGUCAGAAGAGAUGCAUUGUGUGUGUGUGUGUGUGUGUGUGUGUGUGUGACCCUCCACCUCCCACAUACAGCUGAGGGAGGAAAGAGUCAGUGUGCUAAGCCAUCAUGAGCAGUGGUGUGUGUGUCCUCAGAGCCUGACCUGUACAUAGGGAAGAAUAUUUUUUAUAGUGAGUGGGUGCGGUGAGGGUGUGUCUGUCCACCCAUCAGCCCACCCAGAGCAGCGAUGCGUUGUGUAAAGAAUAAAGUGUUAAUGAAGGA
This is an RNA transcript of Eriocheir sinensis (Chinese mitten crab), 9931 nucleotides long. It is a transcript of the gene named kinesin-like protein KIF21A, with no coding region annotated. The record is from RefSeq and is a predicted model, not a curated record. The transcript has 28 exons. NCBI's taxonomy places the organism in Eukaryota, Metazoa, Arthropoda, Malacostraca, Decapoda, Varunidae.